RNAcentral lists this long non-coding RNA (217 nucleotides) under Elaeis guineensis (African oil palm). RNAcentral's name for it is "long non-coding RNA (EGUI_LNC059510)". The record is from RNAcentral. Lineage: Eukaryota; Viridiplantae; Streptophyta; Magnoliopsida; Arecales; Arecaceae.
UAGAACUGGAACUUUGCUUCCAUCUCCAACGUUCAGGAACCUUUCGCCAUCAUCAAAUCUCCUACUGACCUACAGACCCUGCAUCGAAUUGCAAAUAUGAUAAGGGCUUCCGGUAUCCAAUACCCAGGCAGUAGUAUCACAAAUGAAAAAGUUACAAGGUGUUAUCAUAUAAUUACCUUGCUUCUUCUUCGGCCUGUUUGGGUCUAGGGAGGCAAUG